Molecule: ribosomal RNA, 253 nt
Filed under: uncultured bacterium
Lineage: Bacteria
Description: partial 16S ribosomal RNA
Rfam family: Bacterial small subunit ribosomal RNA
Source: RNAcentral
UACGUAGGGGGCAAGCGUUGUCCGGAAUCAUUGGGCGUAAAGCGCGUGUAGGCGGUUCAGUAAGUCUGCUGUGAAAGUCCAGGGCUCAACCCUGGGAUGCCGGUGGAUACUGCUGGGCUAGAGGCUGGUAGGGGCAAGCGGAAUUCCUGGUGUAGCGGUGAAAUGCGCAGAUAUCAGGAGGAACACCGGUGGCGAAGGCGGCUUGCUGGGCCGGUUCCGACGCUGAGGAGCGAGAGCGUGGGGAGCGAACAGG